GGCGGACGGGUGAGUAACGCGUAGGACUCUACCUAGUAGUGGGGGACAACUCGAGGAAACUCGAGCUAAUACCGCAUACGCUCUUAGGAGGAAAGUGGGGGAUCUUCGGACCUCACGCUAUUAGAGGAGCCUGCGUUAGAUUAGCUUGUUGGUGAGGUAAAGGCUCACCAAGGCGACGAUCUAUAGCUGGUCUGAGAGGACGAUCAGCCACACUGGAACUGAGACACGGUCCAGACUCCUACGGGAGGCAGCAGUAGGGAAUCUUGGGCAAUGGGCGAAAGCCUGACCCAGCGAUGCCGCGUGUGCGAAGAAGGCCUUAGGGUUGUAAAGCACUUUCAGUCGUGAAGAAAAGCUACGAUUUAAUAUGUCGUGGUCUUGACGUUAGCGACAGAAGAAGUACCGGCUAACUCCGUGCCAGCAGCCGCGGUAAUACGGAGGGUACGAACGUUAAUCGGAAUUACUGGGCGUAAAGCGCGCGUAGGCGGUUUGAUAAGUGGGAUGUGAAAGCCCCGGGCUCAACCUGGGAACUGCAUUCCAAACUGUCAAACUAGAGUGUGGUAGAGGGCGGUAGAAUUUCCUGUGUAGCGGUGAAAUGCGUAGAUAUAGGAAGGAAUCACCCGAUGGCGAAGGCAGCCGCCUGGACCAACACUGA
This 652-nucleotide ribosomal RNA is filed under the name gamma proteobacterium IMCC14375. Its description in RNAcentral is "bacterial SSU rRNA". It matches the Rfam family "Bacterial small subunit ribosomal RNA", at positions 97 to 743 of the family's 1533-position model. The record is from RNAcentral. Lineage: Bacteria; Pseudomonadati; Pseudomonadota; Gammaproteobacteria.